GACGAACGCUGGCGGCGUGCCUAAUACAUGCAAGUAGAACGCUGAAGCGAGGAGCUUGCUCUUCUUGGAUGAGUUGCGAACGGGUGAGUAACGCGUAGGUAACCUGCCUUGUAGCGGGGGAUAACUAUUGGAAACGAUAGCUAAUACCGCAUAACAAUGGAUGACACAUGUCAUUUAUUUGAAAGGGGCAAUUGCUCCACUACAAGAUGGACCUGCGUUGUAUUAGCUAGUAGGUGAGGUAAUGGCUCACCUAGGCGACGAUACAUAGCCGACCUGAGAGGGUGACCGGCCACACUGGGACUGAGACACGGCCCAGACUCCUACGGGAGGCAGCAGUAGGGAAUCUUCGGCAAUGGGGGCAACCCUGACCGAGCAACGCCGCGUGAGUGAAGAAGGUUGUCGGAUCGUAAAGCUCGGUUGUAAGUCAAGAACGGGUGUGAGAGUGGAAAGUUCACACUGUGACGGUAGCUUACCAGAAAGGGACGGCUAACUACGUG
Molecule: ribosomal RNA, 497 nt
Filed under: uncultured bacterium
Lineage: Bacteria
Description: partial 16S ribosomal RNA
Rfam family: Bacterial small subunit ribosomal RNA
Source: RNAcentral